This 465-nucleotide ribosomal RNA is filed under the name uncultured bacterium. RNAcentral describes it as "partial 16S ribosomal RNA". It matches the Rfam family "Bacterial small subunit ribosomal RNA", at positions 28 to 507 of the family's 1533-position model. The record is from RNAcentral.
GACGAACGCUGGCGGCGUGCUUAACACAUGCAAGUCGAACGGAAAGGCCCCUUUGGGGGUACUCGAGUGGCGAACGGGUGAGUAACACGUGAGUAACCUGCCCUUGACUUCGGGAUAACUUCAGGAAACUGGGGCUAAUACCGGAUAGGAAUCCUUGCUGCAUGGUGGGGGUUGGAAAGCUUCGGCGGUUUUGGAUGGACUCGCGGCUUAUCAGCUUGUUGGUGGGGUAGUGGCUUACCAAGGCUUUGACGGGUAGCCGGCCUGAGAGGGCGACCGGCCACAUUGGGACUGAGAGACGGCCCAGACUCCUACGGGAGGCAGCAGUGGGGAAUAUUGCACAAUGGGCGGAAGCCUGAUGCAGCAACGCCGCGUGCGGGAUGACGGCCUUCGGGUUGGAAACCGCUUUCGGCAGGGGCGAAGCUUGUGGUGACGGUACCUGCAGAAGAAGCACCGGCUAACUACGUG